AGCGUAGGCGGGUUUUUAAGUAAGGUGUUUAAUCCCGGGGCCCAACCCCGGACAGGCACUUUAAACUGGAAGUCUUGAAUAGUGGAGAGGUCAGUGGAAUUGGGGGUGUAGCGGUGGAAUGCGUAGAGAUCCCCAAGAACACCAGUUGCGAAGGCGGCUGACUGGACACAUAUUGACGCUGAGGCUCGAAAGCAUGGGGAGCAAACA
Molecule: ribosomal RNA, 207 nt
Filed under: uncultured bacterium
Lineage: Bacteria
Description: partial 16S ribosomal RNA
Rfam family: Bacterial small subunit ribosomal RNA
Source: RNAcentral